Non-coding RNA from Lolium perenne, 1013 nucleotides. Lineage: Eukaryota; Viridiplantae; Streptophyta; Magnoliopsida; Poales; Poaceae. The record is from RefSeq and is a predicted model, not a curated record.
CAUAUCUAUGGCGGUUGUGUGUAUCGCACUUGUGGACGGCCACCCAGGAACAAAGAGAUAAUAGACAACCUUGCUCAUUAGCUUACCGUACAGCCACAUGCUAUAUGGGCUCUGGCUUGACGGAGUAUGUUGUGUGAAUCUGGGCCCUACGUGACAUGAUGAUGUAGGGGAAUGUAGGUUGGAGCGGGUCCGUAGAGAAAGGUCUGGGUGAUCACUUCGGAAAAGUCUCGUCCUAGUCAACAUCUGUCCAUUUGAGCAAAAUGUGCAUCAUGGAAGAAGAGCAGACUAGGUCAUGUGGGUAAAUUUGUACAACCUCUGCAGAGUGUAAAUCUAAGUACUUAGCCGUGUCCCCGGUUAUGGACAAUUUGAGCGAACUGACAAGGCACAUGUUCGAAAGUCUCCUCGUCCCAACUUCUUAAAUAAAACUUGAUGGGUGAACAGGGAAAUGACAAUUGGUGUAAGUGACUAUCGGCUAGUAGGUCCCGUGCCAUGUCUAUGGUCUGAGUCUACAGGGGUAGUUCGCCCAAACCAAGUUGAUCAUGGGUAGGAGGAUUCACCGGGGAUUUACCGGUGGUUUCCAGGGUUCAUUGAUUUCUAUCAAUGGUACCGCUUAAUUAGUAUGAAAGAAAAAUGAUUUCACAAAUCAUAGGAGAAAACUGGCUUUAUGCAAAUAUGCCUGAGCUCUACCAGCCAAAUGUACACUUAAGUGUUAGGUUGCCAUUUGAGUCCACUAUAGUGUCAUCUUGCCAAUACAUUCAAAGUAUUGACCAUUCGUGGCUGUAACUUUUCAUGUUGCAGAUGUUUUGAAAGAUGAGUGAGUUACGAUGGUUAGGGUUACGAGUCUAUCCUCAACAUGCUCGCCUGUGGCACAUGAAGACGAAGGACUCCAUGCUGUCUAUGUUUAUUCGUUGUGAAACUCUGAUGAUAUGCUAGCCUUGUGCUAUGCAAUUUGUAAUCCUUUAUGUAAAUUCUGGAUCAUACGAUGUAAUAAAGACCUUUAUUUCUUGGUAUUA